UACGGUGGCCGAGAACCGCCACUGCUGCAAAUAAAACAGUUCUUUUUUUUUUUUUUUUUUCAGCAGUGGCGGUUCCCAGCCAUUGUA
Molecule: non-coding RNA, 87 nt
Organism: Xyrichtys novacula (pearly razorfish)
Lineage: Eukaryota; Metazoa; Chordata; Actinopteri; Labriformes; Labridae
Source: the annotation of a GenBank genome assembly